This 264-nucleotide ribosomal RNA is filed under the name uncultured bacterium. RNAcentral describes it as "partial 16S ribosomal RNA". It matches the Rfam family "Bacterial small subunit ribosomal RNA", at positions 89 to 354 of the family's 1533-position model. The record is from RNAcentral.
UGGCGACCGGCGCACGGGUGAGUAACGCGUAUCCAACCUGCCGAUAACUCGGGGAUAGCCUUUCGAAAGAAAGAUUAAUAUCCGAUAGCAUAUCAAGAUCGCAUGAUCUUGAUAUUAAAGAAUUUCGGUUAUCGAUGGGGAUGCGUUCCAUUAGUUAGUUGGCGGGGUAACGGCCCACCAAGACGACGAUGGAUAGGGGUUCUGAGAGGAAGGUCCCCCACAUUGGAACUGAGACACGGUCCAAACUCCUACGGGAGGCAGCAG